ACUCCUACGGGAGGCAGCAGUGGGGAAUAUUGCACAAUGGGCGCAAGCCUGAUGCAGCCAUGCCGCGUGUAUGAAGAAGGCCUUCGGGUUGUAAAGUACUUUCAGCAGUGAGGAAGGUGGAUAUGUUAAUAGCAUAUUCAUUUGACGUUAGCUGCAGAAGAAGCACCGGCUAACUCCGUGCCAGCAGCCGCGGUAAUACGGAGGGUGCGAGCGUUAAUCGGAAUUACUGGGCGUAAAGCGCAUGCAGGUGGUUUGUUAAGUCAGAUGUGAAAGCCCGGGGCUCAACCUCGGAAUUGCAUUUGAAACUGGCAAACUAGAGUACUGUAGAGGGGGGUAGAAUUUCAGGUGUAGCGGUGAAAUGCGUAGAGAUCUGAAGGAAUACCGGUGGCGAAGGCGGCCCCCUGGACAGAUACUGACACUCAGAUGCGAAAGCGUGGGGAGCAAACAGGAUUAGAUACCCCUGGUAGCUCUGC
RNAcentral lists this ribosomal RNA (473 nucleotides) under uncultured bacterium. RNAcentral describes it as "bacterial SSU rRNA". It matches the Rfam family "Bacterial small subunit ribosomal RNA", at positions 335 to 798 of the family's 1533-position model. The record is from RNAcentral.